This 449-nucleotide ribosomal RNA is filed under the name uncultured bacterium. Its description in RNAcentral is "partial 16S ribosomal RNA". It matches the Rfam family "Bacterial small subunit ribosomal RNA", at positions 28 to 523 of the family's 1533-position model. The record is from RNAcentral.
GACGAACGCUGGCGGCAGGCUUAACACAUGCAAGUCGAACGAGAUCUUCGGAUCUAGUGGCAGACGGGUGAGGAACACGUGGGAACAUCCCUUUCAGUUCGGAAUAACGUUGGGAAACUAACGCUAAUACCGGAUACGUCCUUCGGGAGAAAGAUUUAUCGCUGAAAGAUUGGCCCGCGUCUGAUUAGCUAGUUGGUGCGGUAACGGCUCACCAAGGCUACGAUCAGUAGCUGAUCUGAGAGGAUGAUCAGCCACAUUGGGACUGAGACACGGCCCAAACUCCUACGGGAGGCAGCAGUGGGGAAUAUUGGACAAUGGGCGCAAGCCUGAUCCAGCCAUGCCGCGUGGGUGAUGACGGCCUUCGGGCUGUAAAGCUCUUUUGUCCGGGAAGAUAAUGACUGUACCGGAAGAAUAAGCCCCGGCAAACUUCGUGCCAGCAGCCGCGGUAA